Molecule: ribosomal RNA, 463 nt
Filed under: uncultured bacterium
Lineage: Bacteria
Description: partial 16S ribosomal RNA
Rfam family: Bacterial small subunit ribosomal RNA
Source: RNAcentral
GAUGAACGCUGACAGAAUGCUUAACACAUGCAAGUCUUUGGCGAAGCUGUGCUCGCACAGCCUAGCCAAGGCGGACGGGUGAGUAACGCGUAAGGAACUUGCCCUGCAGUCAGGGAUAACAGACGGAAACGACUGAUAAGACCUGGUAAAGUCAGGCGGACUCAUGUCCAGCCUGAUGAAAAGAGAUGCUGCAGGAGAGCCUUGCGUCCUAUUAGCUUGUUGGUGGGGUAACGGCCCACCAAGGCGAUGAUAGGUAGCCGGCCUGAGAGGGUGGACGGCCACAAGGGGACUGAGAUACGGCCCUUACUCCUACGGGAGGCGGCAGUGGGGAAUAUUGGACAAUGGGGGCAACCCUGAUCCAGCAAUUCUGCGUGCACGAUGAAGGUUUUCGGAUUGUAAAGUGCUUUCAGCAGGGAAGAAAAAAAUGACGGUACCUGCAGAAGAAGCGACGGCUAAAUACGUG